AGUGAACGCUGGCGGUAGGCCUAACACAUGCAAGUCGAACGGCAGCACAGUAAGAGCUUGCUCUUACGGGUGGCGAGUGGCGGACGGGUGAGGAAUACAUCGGAAUCUACUUUUUCGUGGGGGAUAACGUAGGGAAACUUACGCUAAUACCGCAUACGACCUACGGGUGAAAGCAGGGGAUCUUCGGACCUUGCGCGACUGAAUGAGCCGAUGUCGGAUUAGCUAGUUGGCGGGGUAAAGGCCCACCAAGGCGACGAUCCGUAGCUGGUCUGAGAGGAUGAUCAGCCACACUGGAACUGAGACACGGUACAGACUCCGACGGGAGGCAGCAGUGGGGAAUAUUGGACAAUGGGCGCAAGCCUGAUCCAGCCAUACCGCGUGGGUGAAGAAGGCCUUCGGGUUGUAAAGCCCUUUUGUUGGGAAAGAAAAGCAGCAGGUUAAUACCCCGCUGUUCUGACGGGACCCAAAGAAUAAGCACCGGCUAACUUCGU
RNAcentral lists this ribosomal RNA (491 nucleotides) under uncultured bacterium. RNAcentral describes it as "partial 16S ribosomal RNA". It matches the Rfam family "Bacterial small subunit ribosomal RNA", at positions 29 to 506 of the family's 1533-position model. The record is from RNAcentral.